RNAcentral lists this transfer RNA (85 nucleotides) under Enterobacteriaceae endosymbiont of Plateumaris pusilla. It matches the Rfam family "tRNA". Rfam says of the family: Transfer RNA (tRNA) molecules are approximately 80 nucleotides in length. Their secondary structure includes four short double-helical elements and three loops (D, anti-codon, and T loops). Further hydrogen bonds mediate the characteristic L-shaped molecular structure. tRNAs have two regions of fundamental functional importance: the anti-codon, which is responsible for specific mRNA codon recognition, and the 3' end, to which the tRNAs corresponding amino acid is attached (by aminoacyl-tRNA synthetases). tRNAs cope with the degeneracy of the genetic code in two manners: having more than one tRNA (with a specific anti-codon) for a particular amino acid; and 'wobble' base-pairing, i.e. permitting non-standard base-pairing at the 3rd anti-codon position. The record is from Rfam by way of RNAcentral. Lineage: Bacteria; Pseudomonadati; Pseudomonadota; Gammaproteobacteria; Enterobacterales; Enterobacteriaceae.
GGUGAGAUGGCCGAGCGGUUGAAGGCGCACGCCUGGAAAGUGUGUAUAUGAAAACAUAUCAGGGGUUCGAAUCCCCUUCUCACCU